UCGCUAGGAUCGAAUCCCCCCUCUAUAAUUUAAUUUUCUUGAUACGGAUAGGGGACCCCUUGUAGGGGCUGAUUCGAUGGACCAGCUUCGUUCCCCCGGGGAGGUACUUGAUUAGCAGGCGACACACAUCUAGAUUCUGGCUUAUUCACCGACGUGCCCGUUUUUGCUGAGGCUGACGACUGUCUUUCCCUUUCGGUUGUUGGCCAACUCUCCAAUAUAACAUUGAUGCCGAAAAU
Molecule: long non-coding RNA, 236 nt
Filed under: Gossypium barbadense (sea-island cotton)
Lineage: Eukaryota; Viridiplantae; Streptophyta; Magnoliopsida; Malvales; Malvaceae
Description: long non-coding RNA (GBAR_LNC009396)
Source: RNAcentral